Long non-coding RNA from Haliotis rubra (blacklip abalone), 4260 nucleotides. RefSeq lists it as uncharacterized. Lineage: Eukaryota; Metazoa; Mollusca; Gastropoda; Lepetellida; Haliotidae. The record is from RefSeq and is a predicted model, not a curated record. The transcript is spliced from 2 exons.
CCGCCAUUACAGGCUGGGCCUCUACCAUGGUAGUGAAUGUCCCAUAGUGGGGAAAACACCGCCAUUACAGGCUGGGCCUCUACCAUGGUAGUGAAUGUCCCAUAGUGGGGAAAACACCGCCAUUACAGGCUGGGCCUCUACCAUGGUAGUGAAUGUCCCAUAGUGGGGAAAACACCGCCAUUACAGGCUGGGCCUCUACCAUGGUAGUGAAUGUCCCAUAGUGGGGAAAACACCGCCAUUACAGGCUGGGCCUCUACCAUGGUAGUGAAUGUCCCAUAGUGGGGAAAACACCGCCAUUACAGGCUGGGCCCCUACCAUGGUAGUGAAUGUCCCAUAGUGAGGAAAACAUCGCCAUCAUACAUUGGGCCCCUACCAUGGUAGUGAAUGUCCCAUAGUGGGGAAAGCAUCGCCAUUAUAGGCUGAACCCCUACCAUGGUAGUGAAUGUCCCAUAGUGGGGAAAACAUCGCCAUUAUAGGCUGGGCCCCUACCAUGGUAGUGAAUGUCCCAUUGUGGGGAAAACAUCGCCAUCAUACAUGGGGCCCCUACCAUGGUAGUGAAUAUCCAAUAGUGGGGAAAACAUCGCCAUUGUAGGCUGAGCCCCUACCAUGGUAGUGAAUGUCCCAUAGUGGGGAAAGCAUUGCCAUUAUAGGCUGAGCCCCUACCAUGGUAGUGAAUGUCCCAUAGUGGGGAAAACAUCGCCAUCAUACCAUGGGCCCCUACCAUGGUGAAUGUCCCAUAGUGGGGAAAACAUCGCCAUCAUACAUGGGGCCCCUACCAUGGUAGUGAAUGUCCUAUGGUGGGGAAACAUCGCUAUCAUACAUGGGGCCCUUACCAUGGUAGUGAAUAUCCAAUAGUGGUAACACAUGUUGCAACCAUACACUGUCCCCUACCAUGGUAGUGAAUAUCCAAUAGUGGUAACACAUGUUGCAACCAUACACUGUCCCCUACUAUGGUAGUGAAUAUCCAAUAGUGGUAACACAUGUUGCAACCAUACACUGUCCCCUACCAUGGUAGGGAAUAUCCCAUAUUAGUGUUACCAUAUUUGCUACCAUUUUUUAUCAUAAUGCAAAUUCAUAUCUUUUGCCUCCAUUUUUAUAGAAAAAAAUUAUUCAAAUGUUUUUAAAGAAACAAAACAGAUAAAGUAAGAAGUUUAUGGUUGAUAUUUUUUGCAAAAAGAUUUGAAAAUUGCUAUUGCAAUAUGUCUGGUUUUGGGAAAGGCUGUAACUUGGCAAUAAAUCUGGUAUCAUGACAUGGGUGCAAACAGUGUUGGUUUUGAGACAUUUCGUUGUGUUAGUCGCUGCCUGUAUGAUGCCCACUCUGUUAUGGAGAAGGAUGUUUGUUCAGCAGAACCACAUUUCUCUGGAAGUUUCUAUCAACUCAUGCACCCUGAUUCAUCAGUUGUACUACCUGAACAAAAAUUCAUCUUAUUGAUCUAACCUUAAAAACUUCAUGAGUCUUAAUUUUGUUAAUCAGAUGCCAUGUUUACAUUUUUAGCAUUUAGCCAUUCGAGUGUAACAAGGAAGAAAUAACGGAUGAAAUGAGAAGUUGUAAUUAGAAACAGUUUCAGUGAUAAGAUGGUUCUCUCUGUAUACUGAUGUAAAUCCUUAACAUCAGGAUGCGGUGGCAAAUGGUUUCCUCCCCCCCCCUGUGUUACUCUUGUACCUCACAUUUUGUAUUUACUGAGUUUAACACUGUUGUCUUUUAUUGUGUUUUUCUGGUUGAGCAAGUGUACACAGUCCAGUGCCCUCUGCCUGUAUGUUGAAGGCCUGAUGAAAGUUUAGGGUUUAGGGGUAAGGAAUGGGAUCACUUGUUGAAGGGUUGGGAUCACUUGUUGAAGGGUUGGGAUCACUUGUUGAAGGGUUGGGAUCACUUGUUCAAGGGUUGGGUUGAAGGAUGCCGGUUUAAGGGUUAGAUUGAGGUUGGUCUGUUCAAGGGCUAGUAGGGUAGAGAGCUGGGCUGGAGAGACAAAUGUUGAAGGGUUAAAAGCAGCUAUUGAAGGAUGAAGGGCAUCUAUUAAAGGGUUUAGGGUUGAAGGUUUUUCUUGGGGAGAGCCCAUUGAAGAGGUAAGGGUUGAGAGACCAUGUUGAGGUUAUGUAAAUAGAGUGUAUUCAAGGGUUGAAAAUUAGGUUCAGUGUUCAAAAUAAGCACUAACCCAUAGGCCUGUGACAGGUAGAUUCGUAUCAGGCCAAGAGAUUCAAAUUUGUCUGGGCCCUUAUGGCAUGCAGUAAAUGUAAGUGUCGAUUUGUUUGUCACAAUAAGCUGCUUUGUUGUUAGAUUAAAGCAUAAGGAAUUUAGUCACAGCCUACAACUUCGACUGUCUGGGGGGUCUGAUAGUGGCAUGGCAAUGGUUUUGUUUUCAAACACUGUUUAGGUUUGGGAGGGUCCAUUGAAGGGUUAGGUUUGGGAGGGUCCAUUGAAGGGUUAGGUUUAGGAGGGCCCAUUGAAGGGUUAGGUUUGGGAGGGCCCAUUGAAGGGUUAGGUUUGGGAGGGCCCAUUGAAGGGUUAGGUUUGGGAGGGCCCAUUGAAGGGUUAGGUUUGGGAGGGUCCAUUGAAGGGUAAGGUUUGGGAGGGUCCAUUGAAGGGUUAGGUUUAGGAGGGCCCAUUGAAGGCUUUUGUUGGGAGGGCUCAUGGAGACCAGUGCCCAUGGUUGGAGAUACAGGCAACUGCCACAUCAACUACCUCAUGUUCUGGCAGAUGGAGAGGCACUGGACAGCACUGGCUCUGAUUAUUUCAGUAUACCUCAAUAUAUCACCGAAUGUACUUGUCCUCGUAUACCACAGAUGGUGAGCCUCCUUUAUUUGUCCCAUAUUGUAUGUAUUUCAUGUAUGACUUGCAUUUUAUGUUAAUCUCAGUUAUUGUAUUGUUAUUGCCUUGAGCACUGUGUGCAGGCUAGUACAAGACCUACACUAUUUGUAGUAGUUUUAGAUAAUGGAUUAACUCCUCAGGAAAACUGUCCUUUCUCUACACUGUAUAGCUUCACCCAAACUGGAAAUAUUAUCUCCUGCAUUGCUUGUACAUUUGGCAUAUCGAAGGAAAAUCAAAGACAAUAUGAAAUUCUGAUAUUUAGUUCCACAGUUAGUAACAGUUCCACCUGAUAAUGAUGACUGUUUGGGCAUUAGGAACUGAGACUAGAUUUGUUUACCUCCAACUCUGUUGCUUAAUCUGUCAUACUUAACAUUCUAUAGAUUCCCAGGCAGCUAUUGUAGGACUUCACAGCCACUCUCAGGCCCCUCUGUUUGGGCGCUGAUCGUUGGCUGCAUAGUUAUCACACACAGUUAUCACACACUCAGUACAUGCAGGUGUGACACAUGUAUACACACGUUGACUCAGGUCCUGUUAUCCCACACACGAGUUCACUCAGGUCCUGUUAUCACACACACGAGUUUACUCAGGUCCUGUUAUCACACACGAGUUCACUCAGGUCCUGUUAUCACACACACGAGUUUACUCAGGUCCUGUUAUCACACACACGAGUUUACUCAGGUCCUGUUAUCACACACACGAGUUCACUCAGGUCCUGUUAUCACACACACUAUUUCACCUAGCAACAGUUGUCACACACACUAGUUCGUCCAGCAACAGUUUUCACACACACUAGUUCAACACAUCAAGCAUCAUAAUGACAAACGAAACAUGACACAGCUGGUUCCAAAGAAUGAACAUAAGAACCCAAGACACGUCCAUAACACAUCAGGGACGGUGGGGUAGCCCAGUGGUUAAAGCAUUCGCUCGUCAUGCCGAUUCCCCGCAUGGGUGCAAUGUGUGAAGCCCAUUUCUGGUGUCCCCCGCCAUGAUAUUGCUGGAAUAUUGCUAAAAGCGACAUAAAAGUAAACUCUACAACACCACAAGGUGACACCAUCAUAUGUCCAUGCUUUCAACAUCACCCAACCAUAUGUCCAUGCUUUCAACAUCACACCACCAUAUGUCCAUGCACACGACAUCACACCACCAUAUGUCCAUACACACAAUGAUACACCCCGAUAUGUCCAUGCACACGAUGAUACGACACGAUAUGUCCAUGCACACGAUGAUACACCACCAUAUGUCCAUGCACACGAUGAUACACCAUGGUAUGUCCAUGCACACGAUGAUACACCACGAUGAUACACCACGAUGAUACACCACGAUAUGUCCAUGCACACGAUGAUACACCACGAUAUGUCCAUGCACACGAUGAUACACCACGAUAUGUCCAUGCACACGAUGAUACACCACCAUAUGUCCAUGCACACAUCACACCACGAUAUGUCCAUGCACAC